Molecule: ribosomal RNA, 468 nt
Filed under: uncultured bacterium
Lineage: Bacteria
Description: partial 16S ribosomal RNA
Rfam family: Bacterial small subunit ribosomal RNA
Source: RNAcentral
UCCUCCCUCUGUCGGCGUGCUUAACACAUGCAAGUCGAACGGAAAGGCCCUGCUUUUGUGGGGUGCUCGAGUGGCGAACGGGUGAGUAACACGUGAGUAACCUGCCCUUGACUUUGGGAUAACUUCAGGAAACUGGGGCUAAUACCGGAUAGGAGCUCCUGCUGCAUGGUGGGGGUUGGAAAGUUUCGGCGGUUGGGGAUGGACUCGCGGCUUAUCAGCUUGUUGGUGGGGUAGUGGCUUACCAAGGCUUUGACGGGUAGCCGGCCUGAGAGGGUGACCGGCCACAUUGGGACUGAGAUACGGCCCAGACUCCUACGGGAGGCAGCAGUGGGGAAUUUUGCACAAUGGGCGGAAGCCUGAUGCAGCAACGCCGCGUGCGGGAUGACGGCCUUCGGGUUGUAAACCGCUUUCGCCUGUGACGAAGCGUGAGUGACGGUAAUGGGUAAAGAAGCACCGGCUAACUACGUG